RNAcentral lists this ribosomal RNA (720 nucleotides) under uncultured bacterium. RNAcentral's name for it is "bacterial SSU rRNA". It matches the Rfam family "Bacterial small subunit ribosomal RNA", at positions 97 to 796 of the family's 1533-position model. The record is from RNAcentral.
GGCAAACGGGUGAGUAACACGUGGGUGACCUGCCUUCGAGCGGGGGAUAACGUCCCGAAAGGGACGCUAAUACCGCAUAACAUCCUGCCUUUGAAGAGGUGGAGAUCAAAGCCGGGGAUCGCAAGACCCGGCACUUGAAGAGGGGCCCGCGCCUGAUUAGCUAGUUGGUGAGGUAACGGCUCACCAAGGCAACGAUCAGUAUCCGGCCUGAGAGGGCGGACGGACACACUGGGACUGAGACACGGCCCAGACUCCUACGGGAGGCAGCAGUGGGGAAUUGUUCGCAAUGGGCGCAAGCCUGACGACGCAACGCCGCGUGGAGGAUGAAGAUUUUCGGAUCGUAAACUCCUGUCGAAUGGGACGAAUAGAUUGCGGGUUAACAGCCCGCAGUCCUGACGGUACCGUUAAAGGAAACCCCGGCUAACUCCGUGCCAGCAGCCGCGGUAAUACGGGGGGGGUAAGCGUUGUUCGGAAUUACUGGGCGUAAAGGGCUCGUAGGCGGCCAACUAAGUCAGACGUGAAAUCCCUCAGCUUAACUGGGGAACUGCGUCUGAUACUGGAUGGCUUGGAUUCGGGAGAGGGAUGCGGAAUUCCAGGUGUAGCGGUGAAAUGCGUAGAUAUCUGGAGGAACACCGGUGGCGAAGGCGGCAUCCUGGACCGAUAUUGACGCUGAGGAGCGAAAGCCAGGGGAGCAAACGGGAUUAGAUACCCCGGUAGUCC